CAAACGGGAGGCUGCAGUGGGGAAUAUUGGACAAUGGGGGGAACCCUGAUCCAGCCAUGCCGCGUGUGUGAAGAAGGCCCUCGGGUUGUAAAGCACUUUCAGUGAGGAAGAACGCCUGGUGGUUAAUACCCAUCAGGAAAGACAUCACUCACAGAAGAAGCACCUGCUAACUCCGUGCCAGCAGCCGCGGUAAUACGGAGGGUGCGAGCGUUAAUCGGAAUUACUGGGCGUAAAGCGCGCGUAGGUGGCUUGAUAAGCCGGUUGUGAAAGCCCCGGGCUCAACCUGGGAACGGCAUCCGGAACUGUCAAGCUAGAGUGCAGGAGAGGAAGGUAGAAUUCCCGGUGUAGCGGUGAAAUGCGUAGAGAUCGGGAGGAAUACCAGUGGCGAAGGCGGCCUUCUGGACUGACACUGACACUGAGGUGCGAAAGCGUGGGUAGCAAACAGGAUUAGAUACCCCGGUAGUA
RNAcentral lists this ribosomal RNA (465 nucleotides) under Vreelandella stevensii. Its description in RNAcentral is "partial 16S ribosomal RNA". It matches the Rfam family "Bacterial small subunit ribosomal RNA", at positions 338 to 795 of the family's 1533-position model. Lineage: Bacteria; Pseudomonadati; Pseudomonadota; Gammaproteobacteria; Oceanospirillales; Halomonadaceae. The record is from RNAcentral.